GCGGGCGGCUGGGCUCCCGGUGAGCCGCGCGCGUGCGGCUUCGGCCCCGACACGCAGACGUGGCGCUUAAGUAGAGGACGGAGCGAGACGGGAGGGCCGCUGGGAGAAUAGCAGCACCCUAACGCAGAAACGGACGGCGGGUCCACGUGCUAGGCAACGCGAACGCUUUGCGUGCGGGUGAAAAGACUCCGCUCCACCGUAAAACAGGUUAGUCUUCUCUGCGCCGGAAGUGCCCUGUGGACGCGUUCGGGUAAGUGUCUCGGGGUGGCGACUGGCAAGGAUUCAGUGUGUUUCCAGAGAAGAAACAAAUAUUCAGGACGCCCAAGACUGAUGAGUGUGGCCCCAGUGCAAGUGUGCCUUCAGCGAGCCUAGAGGAGACGCUGAUCGACUGGACGAUUGUAAGCCGGUUGACACAACCUCUGAAGGAGCCUGGUGAAUUUUGCAGCAUCUCCCCCAGAGGAUGGAGAGCUCUGGACUAGCGUGGCGUAGAUGACCCAUAACCAUUGGUGAAAACACCUGUUUAUGAUACAGUUCGUUGAACAGGGGACAGAAAACGGGCAGAAGAGGUCAUCGCACCACUGACCGGGGUUAAGCCAGACCUGGACCUCGGUGCCUGCUUGGAUCCAGCUUGGCCACUCCUGGGCGUGGGGUUCGUUAAGAAACGUGCGCCUGUGAAGAUUACGCGACGGGUUCACAAAUCACACCAAGAGAUCGGUUCCACGUGGGAGGUUUAUUAGGGGAAGGGAAAAGGGGUCGAAGAGAGAGGAGGGGCUCCAGGAGUUCUCUUAUAAGGUGGGCAUGCGCAGGUAGUUCCAGGUGUUCAGCAGGUGGUCUGGUGGUUUCUCAAAUGCCUGAUAACUAGUUUGUCAGGUCCCUUGGGGCUGGCCGUAGAGAUGCCUGUUCACUAAUCCCAACAGGGUUAACUUAAUGCGGCAGAGAGGAAGGAACCGCAGGUUCCCGGUUGUCACAAUGGUAACAACACAGAGGGCGGGAAACCAGGAUAGUGGGGAGGCCUGAGUCUUUUCUCUUUUUCAAUACUUCGGUUGUUUACUUCUGCUGUGCCCAAAGGCAGGUAAUCGUGGCCUUAAUUUCUGUAAACUAAAAUGCUGCCGACACCCUCGAUUAUUUGUUGAAUAUUGAGAUGCGUUCCUUACCGAGUUCAGUCUCCUGUUCCUCCCCCAACCUAGAGUGCAUGCUUGCUGUUAUUAUUUACAUUAGUUAAGAGGAUUGGUCACUUUAUUAACCAUCAUAAUUUUCCUGACCUAAUUAUAUGGAAUUUUGUUUAUCCAUAAUGCCUUACAACCACAGCUUGUGUGAGAAGAUAGGUUUAAACAGGCCAAGAGUCGUGUGCGAUGGAUAAUUAACUUUGCAUACUUAUUAUAAGCACAAUAAAUACUUAUUUUGCUCUAGGGUAAUAUCAAUACUUAAUAAUUUCUCUAGCUGGUACCUAAUUCCUAAGACGCACAAGUUAGCUAGAACUGUAACUGAGGCAGUAGCUGUGUUUCCUGUUCUCGUGUGGGAAUGCUUACAGUGACGCUAAUUCAUACCUGCCUAAGGCACAGAUGCACGGGGACUCACCUCAACAACUGAGCUGAGAAAACUCUGGAAGAGGCUUUCCGUACCCAUGAAAACACCCUGCUUGCCGGAAAUUCUUCAGCUAGAACCUUGGUUUAUUCUGUUAGCUCAAGGCAAAUAAUAGAUUUAGUCCUUUAGGAAAAUUGAAAUGGGGCUGCUGGUGUGUUGGUGGCUAAGGGCACUUCCUGCCCUCCCAGGGUGUCAAGGUCAGUUCCUCACAACUGAAACUCCAGUUCCAGAGGACCCAGCACCCUCCUCUCCCUUUCAGGGACAGGUGUACAUGUAUGAUCCUGGAAGAAGCACAUUCACAUACAAACACAGAGAGCCUGGAAAACUGAAGCCCAAGUAGGAUGGAGCUGAGGAGAAAGGGAGCAGCUAGAUGGUGCUUGUUCUCAGGGUUUGUGGCUUCUGCAACGUCGGAAGAAGAGCCAGGAGCAGAGCUCAGAGAACUGCAAAGCAGCUGACGGGUUAACUGAAUGCCACAGUGAGGAAAGCCAGGAAUCAAAGCAAUGUGUUAAUUCCAAGAACUUCGGUGGUUUAAGAAUUAAUAACAAAGUGUUGGUUGCGUGUGAAAUGCCCUUCAUAGACUCUUGGGCCCCAGCUGGUGGUGCUGCUUGGGAAAGUUAUGGCACUUUGAGGAGGUAGAGGCUGGAGGAAGAGCAUACCGAGACCCUGGCUUUAUCAUGAUGCUCUGCCUCUGGUUCCCCCUGUCUGCGCCCUGUGUGGGGAGAGGCUGUGUCACGCAGUGUCCUGUCGGCUGGCCUCACGCUCCUGCUCCAGGCCCUCCAGACCGUGCCCUCCCUGGAACCAUAAGCAAAGUAAACCUUUUCCUCCCCCAGGUUGCUUUCAGUUAUGGUGUUUGUCACAGCAACUGCAGGCAACGGAAGAGCAGGUACCUGGCAAAUGGCACUGUCAGGGUCCAAAACGACAGGGCAGGUGAAGCUGGUUCAGAAUUCGGGAGAGCCCUCCCUGCUCUGUGUGACCAAAGAGUUUAAGUUAGCCUGGGUGACUCCAUUUUGAAAUGAGGAGCCAUCUUGACCGGGAGCUGAACUCGGGUACCAGGAAAUAUCACAGAAUGUGCACUUGGCAGAAAACAGAGUUAACUCUCUUAGCAACAGCCUCCAGGAAAUAUCACAAAAUACUUGAUAGAAAAUAAAGACAAUCUCCCUGGCAAUAAUCAAUGAGAAUCGGUUGGGAAAAUUCUCCCCAAUGUUCCAUAUAUAGUUUAGAAGAACGGCAAUUGUGAUUAUGUAGAAGGUCACCUCGCCCCUAUGGCUUUUACCCAAUGCUGUAACAGCAAGGCAUAAACCCCCUGCUUGCUGUCAUGGAAACCCCCACUUGCAGUUUUUCCCUUUAAAAGCCCUGCUCACUCAGGGCUCGGGGUCCCACUUCUCUACUGCUGCGUCAGUGAGAUUUGGGUCCCAAGUUCACUCGCUCUCGUAAUAAAGCUCUCUUGCUCUUGCA
This is a long non-coding RNA of Psammomys obesus (fat sand rat), 3039 nucleotides long. RefSeq lists it as uncharacterized. The transcript is spliced from 2 exons. NCBI's taxonomy places the organism in Eukaryota, Metazoa, Chordata, Mammalia, Rodentia, Muridae. The record is from RefSeq and is a predicted model, not a curated record.